CCUACGGGCGGCAGCAGUGGGGAAUUUUGGACAAUGGGGGCAACCCUGAUCCAGCCAUGCCGCGUGAGUGAAGAAGGCCUUCGGGUUGUAAAGCUCUUUCGGGAACCGUCCGGUACUUACAGAAGAAGCACCGGCUAACUACGUGCCAGCAGCCGCGGUAAUACGUAGGGUGCGAGCGUUAAUCGGAAUUACUGGGCGUAAAGGGUGCGCAGGCGGUUUCGUAAGCUGGGUGUGAAAGCCCCGGGCUUAACCUGGGAAUGGCAUUCAGGACUGCGAGGCUUGAGUGCGGCAGAGGGAGGUGGAAUUCCACGUGUAGCAGUGAAAUGCGUAGAGAUGUGGAGGAACACCGAUGGCGAAGGCAGCCUCCUGGCCGCACUGACGCUCAUGCACGAAAGCGUGGGGAGCAAACAGGAUUAGAUACCCUUGUAGUC
RNAcentral lists this ribosomal RNA (431 nucleotides) under uncultured bacterium. RNAcentral's name for it is "partial 16S ribosomal RNA". It matches the Rfam family "Bacterial small subunit ribosomal RNA", at positions 338 to 795 of the family's 1533-position model. The record is from RNAcentral.